UACGGGGGGGGCAAGCGUUGUUCGGAAUUACUGGGCGUAAAGGGCGCGUAGGCGGUUGGUUAAGUCAGCUGUGAAAACCACGGGCUUAACUCGUGGACUGCAGUUGAGACUGUCUGGCUUGAGUGUGGGAGAGGAGAGUGGAAUUCCUGGUGUAGCGGUGAAAUGCGUAGAUAUCAAGCAGAACACCUGCGGCGAAGGCGGCCUGCUGGACGAUGACUGACGCUGAGACGCGAAAGCGUGGGGAGCAAACAGG
Molecule: ribosomal RNA, 253 nt
Filed under: uncultured bacterium
Lineage: Bacteria
Description: partial 16S ribosomal RNA
Rfam family: Bacterial small subunit ribosomal RNA
Source: RNAcentral